Molecule: small nucleolar RNA, 107 nt
Organism: Magnolia sinica
Lineage: Eukaryota; Viridiplantae; Streptophyta; Magnoliopsida; Magnoliales; Magnoliaceae
Source: RefSeq, a predicted model, not a curated record
UGGCCGUGAUGUGGACAGGAGUUUAGAAGAUCCUUAAAUCUCUCCCAACAUUAAAAGAAGGUCUCUUCCUCCUUUUGAGAGAAGUUCAUGAUCGCUUUCCUUAAUGU